UACGGCGGGGGCUAGCGUUGUUCGGAAUUACUGGGCGUAAAGCGUACGUAGGCGGCUUUGUAAGUUAGAGGUGAAAGCCCGGGGCUCAACCCCGGAAUUGCCUUUAAGACUGCAUCGCUUGAACGUCGGAGAGGUGAGUGGAAUUCCGAGUGUAGAGGUGAAAUUCGUAGAUAUUCGGAAGAACACCAGUGGCGAAGGCGGCUCACUGGACGACUGUUGACGCUGAGGUACGAAAGCGUGGGGAGCAAACAGG
Molecule: ribosomal RNA, 253 nt
Filed under: uncultured bacterium
Lineage: Bacteria
Description: partial 16S ribosomal RNA
Rfam family: Bacterial small subunit ribosomal RNA
Source: RNAcentral